This 497-nucleotide ribosomal RNA is filed under the name uncultured bacterium. RNAcentral describes it as "partial 16S ribosomal RNA". It matches the Rfam family "Bacterial small subunit ribosomal RNA", at positions 28 to 507 of the family's 1533-position model. The record is from RNAcentral.
GAUGAACGCUGGCGGCGUGCCUAAUACAUGCAAGUCGAGCGAACAGACGAGGAGCUUGCUCCUCUGACGUUAGCGGCGGACGGGUGAGUAACACGUGGAUAACCUACCUAUAAGACUGGGAUAACUUCGGGAAACCGGAGCUAAUACCGGAUAAUAUAUUGAACCGCAUGGUUCAAUAGUGAAAGGCGGUUUUGCUGUCACUUAUAGAUGGAUCCGCGCCGCAUUAGCUAGUUGGUGAGGUAACGGCUUACCAAGGCAACGAUGCGUAGCCGACCUGAGAGGGUGAUCGGCCACACUGGAACUGAGACACGGUCCAGACUCCUACGGGAGGCAGCAGUAGGGAAUCUUCCGCAAUGGGCGAAAGCCUGACGGAGCAACGCCGCGUGAGUGAUGAAGGUCUUCGGAUCGUAAAACUCUGUUAUUAGGGAAGAACAAAUGUGUAAGUAACUAUGCACGUCUUGACGGUACCUAGUCAGAAAGCCACGGCUAACUACGUG